RNAcentral lists this ribosomal RNA (401 nucleotides) under Micromonospora sp. CV4. Its description in RNAcentral is "bacterial LSU rRNA". It matches the Rfam family "Bacterial large subunit ribosomal RNA", at positions 34 to 473 of the family's 2925-position model. The record is from RNAcentral. Lineage: Bacteria; Bacillati; Actinomycetota; Actinomycetes; Micromonosporales; Micromonosporaceae.
UGGCAGUCAGAGGCGAUGAAGGACGUGCUAAUCUGCGAUAAGCGCCGGUAAGGUGAUAUGAACCGUUAUAACCGGCGAUUUCCGAAUGGGGAAACCCAGUGUGAUUCGUCACACUAUCAUUAACUGAAUCCAUAGGUUAAUGAGGCGAACCGGGGGAACUGAAACAUCUAAGUACCCCGAGGAAAAGAAAUCAACCGAGAUUCCCCCAGUAGCGGCGAGCGAACGGGGAGGAGCCCAGAGCCUGAAUCAGCAUGUGUGUUAGUGGAAGCGUCUGGAAAGGCGCGCGAUACAGGGUGACAGCCCCGUACACAAAAGCGCAUGUGCUGUGAGCUCGAUGAGUAGGGCCGGGACACGUGGUAUCCUGUCUGAAUAUGGGGGGACCAUCCUCCAAGGCUAAAUAC